Molecule: long non-coding RNA, 1723 nt
Organism: Patella vulgata (common limpet)
Lineage: Eukaryota; Metazoa; Mollusca; Gastropoda; Patellidae
Exons: 4
Source: RefSeq, a predicted model, not a curated record
UUUUCAAACACUACAAAGAAUAUGGAUUAACACCGCGCAAGAAAAAGAGUGGCGGUAGAGAUAACUGCCGCCAUCUUUUGAAGCAUGAGGACAUAGUUAAGGUAGUCACAUUCAUCACUAAUUAUGCGGAGGAUCAGGCAGUGAUACUACCUGGACGUUACCCUGGCCAUAAGCGGUAUGAUGUAAAGUUGCUGCCAUCAAAUGUCACAAAGUCGAUGGUAUGGCGUUUAUACAAGGCUGCCAUGGAUUCGCUAGACUGCCGCGCAGUAAGACUAAGCACAUUCCGAAAGUUGUGGAAGGCACUGGUCCCUCAUAUUCUUCGUACGAAGCCAAUGGCAGACUUAUGCUGGGUAUGUCAGAAGAAUAAUUACCAGGUCUUCAGAAGCAACAAUCUCCCAGAGGUAGUCAAGUCUGCAAAACUGAAAAAACAAGAGGAACACCUUCUUCUUGUUGAGAAAGAAAGAAUAUACUACCAAGACAUGGUGAAGAAAUCAUAAGAAGUCUGUCAAGAAUUAGAUUUGAAGCUACAACCUUCACCCCCUGCCAGUAAAGAAAUAAAAAUGCACUACAGCUUCGACUAUGCACAACAGGUACACUUUCCGUCCGAUCCCUGGCAACCAGGACCAAUGUAUUUCUUGACGCCGAGGAAGUGUGGGUUGUUCGGAGUAUGUUGUGAGGGGAUACCCCAGCAGGUGAAUUAUCUUGUGGAUGAAAGUAUGGCUUCCAGCAAGGGAUCUAACAGUGUUAUAAACUACCUCCACCACUUUUUUGACAACUUUGGACUUGGUGAAAAAGAAGCAGGGCUACACUGUGAUAACUGCUCUGGACAGAACAAAAAUAGAUUUGUUCUCUGGUACAUGGCGUGGAGGACCAUGCACAAGCUCCAUAGUCAUAUAGGAUUGCAUUUCUUAAUUGUUGGUCACACAAAAUUCGCACCAGACUGGUGCUUCGGGCUAAUUAAGCAAAAGUACAGACGGACAAGAGUCUGCAAGUUGGACGAUAUCGCUGUUGUAGUUCGUGAAAGUACAGUAACUGGAGUUAAUAUUCCUCAGCUUGUUGGAUUAGAAGAUGGCACGGUUUAUGUGAAGGCUUAUGACUGGCAGAAUUUUUUUCAGCCCUACUUCCGUCCUUUGCAAGGUAUCAAAAACUACCAGCACUUCAGUUUUGAUUCCUCUACACCUGGACUGGUCAUCGCAAGAGAUUGUUCGGACUCUGAAAAUGUGACAAGGUUUCAGCUGCUGAAAGAUCCAGAGAUCCUGCCCCCAGUCAAUCUGCCACCAGUAAUUCAACCACCAGGCUUGGAUGAUAAACGACAAGCCUACCUUUAUGACCAAAUCUGUGACUUCUGUGACGAUGAAUCAAAGGACAUCUGUUGCCCGAAACCAUGUGCUGAGGCCAAGUUCGGAGCAGAACAGUAGAACGUUAAAUCCCGUCUGUCUGUCACACAUUUUGGGACACAAUAACUCUCUAUCUAAUUGAGCUAGAAUGUUCAAACUUGGUGUAGGUGUUUAUUAGGUCGAUGCCUUGAUGGAGUUCGAAGAUGAGCAUUUUCGGCUUAGGGUAAGCAGAGAUAAGCAAUUUGAUUGUUUGAUGCUUUGGGACACGAUAACUUUAGUCCUAAUUAAGUGGGAGUGAUGAAACUUGGUGUAUAGUUUCAUUACAUCAAUACCUUGACUAAGUUCGAUAAUGAGCAUUUUCUGCUCAGGGUAAGCAGAGAGAUAAG